CCGAGAAUCCGGCCCAAAAGCUGGAGUGCUAGCAAUAGAACUCGGUGACAGGUGCUGCAUGGCUGUCGUCAGCUCGUGUCGUGAGAUGUUGGGUUAAGUCCCGCAACGAGCGCAACCCUCGUCUUUAGUUGCCACCAUUCAGUUGGGCACUCUAGAGAGACUGCCGGUGUUAAACCGGAGGAAGGUGGGGAUGACGUCAAGUCCUCAUGGCCCUUACGCCUGGGGCUACACACGUACUACAAUGGCCGCUACAAUCCGUUGCAAGACCGCGAGGUGGAGCCAAUCGGAAAAAAGCGGCCUCAGUUCAGAUUGCAGUCUGCAACUCGACUGCAUGAAGGCGGAAUCGCUAGUAAUCGCGUAACAGCAUGACG
This 371-nucleotide ribosomal RNA is filed under the name uncultured bacterium. RNAcentral's name for it is "bacterial SSU rRNA". It matches the Rfam family "Bacterial small subunit ribosomal RNA", at positions 989 to 1359 of the family's 1533-position model. The record is from RNAcentral.